This 336-nucleotide unclassified non-coding RNA is filed under the name soil metagenome. Its description in RNAcentral is "partial contains 5.8S ribosomal RNA, internal transcribed spacer 2, and large subunit ribosomal RNA". The stretch from base 1 to 120 matches the Rfam family "5.8S ribosomal RNA", at positions 35 to 154 of the family's 154-position model. The record is from RNAcentral.
GAUGAAGAACGUAGCAAACUGCGAUAAGUAAUGUGAAUUGCAGAAUUCAGUGAAUCAUCGAAUCUUUGAACGCACAUUGCGCCCGCCAGUAUUCUGGCGGGCAUGCCUGUUCGAGCGUCAUUUCAACCAUCAAGCCCCAGGCUUGUGUUGGGGACCUGCGGCUGCCGCAGGCCCUGAAAACCAGUGGCGGGCUCGCUGUCACACCGGGCGUAGUAGAUUUUAUCUCGCUCAGGGCGUGCUGCGGGUUCCGGCCGUUAAAAAGCCUUUUUUACCCAAGGUUGACCUCGGAUCAGGUAGGAAGACCCGCUGAACUUAAGCAUAUCAAUAAGCGGAGGA